Panicum virgatum (switchgrass) is the source of this 476-nucleotide long non-coding RNA. RefSeq lists it as uncharacterized. The transcript has 2 exons. The record is from RefSeq and is a predicted model, not a curated record. Lineage: Eukaryota; Viridiplantae; Streptophyta; Magnoliopsida; Poales; Poaceae.
GCGAUGUUAGCUUGGUUAUUAAAUAGGUGAGUUGUGGAUAAUGCUGCAAUGAACCACUUGAUUUACUACUUGUGUGGUCGUCAGGUCGGUUGUUUAUAGAAAGUUCUGAUGCUUCCAAAUUGCAGGUACUGUACACUGAAAGCAAAGCGAAGCUUACGAAUUACACAGAGCAAUGGAUCCAGGUGCGAUGGUGGGUUCAUCGCUGUGGCCAUAGCAGGUCAGGAGGAUGACGCCAAGUAUGCAACAACCUGAAGAUGGCGUGUUCCCGAACGUUGGUUGAAUACUUUGCAACAAUAGACCUCAAUGGCACCGCAUUGACGGUCUUGUUAGUGCUAACACAACAAAAUAAACGCCUAAUUUGCCUAAAAGCAGUCCGUUGUUUGGGUACGGCUAGUUUGUUAGGGCCACGCAACUAUGUAAGCAUCUCAGUUUGCUAUUCAAGUUCUAAAAUUGCCCAGGUCGAGCAGUUUUCUCAA